Bos taurus (domestic cattle) is the source of this 388-nucleotide long non-coding RNA. Lineage: Eukaryota; Metazoa; Chordata; Mammalia; Artiodactyla; Bovidae. The record is from Ensembl.
CUUCCAGGGGCGCCAAGAUUCUGCUGCGUAGAUGGAGCCCAAGGCGGCGAGGCUUGUUUCUGGGGAGGUGGAGAACUUUUGACACUCAGUUCCUGCUGUAACAGAGCUGGUUGUCCCUCUGGGCCUGUCUGCGUCCCUGCCUCUUCCUAUAAGGACAUCAGCCACGUUGGAUGAGAGCCCACCCUAGUGACUUCAGGGUGCUCACUCGGUAGUGCCCAGCUCUUUUGUGAUCCCAUGGACCGCGGCAGGCCGGGCUCCCCUCACCUGAGUAGCACGUAAUUCCAUUAGCUAUUGGUCACCACAUGGCUCGUGCAGGAAGCUUUCAAAGAAAAUUAAAGUAAGGGAAGGAAAAAAGAUCUGGCACUGGUUAUUAACUCCACCUCAGGGU